Molecule: non-coding RNA, 65 nt
Organism: Cordylochernes scorpioides
Lineage: Eukaryota; Metazoa; Arthropoda; Arachnida; Pseudoscorpiones; Chernetidae
Source: the annotation of a GenBank genome assembly
CUCCAGGGAUGGGAAUCGAACCCACGGUUACCGGUUAGAUGCCAUGUCCACUAGGCUACCCUGGA